This 440-nucleotide ribosomal RNA is filed under the name uncultured bacterium. RNAcentral's name for it is "partial 16S ribosomal RNA". It matches the Rfam family "Bacterial small subunit ribosomal RNA", at positions 338 to 795 of the family's 1533-position model. The record is from RNAcentral.
CCUACGGGUGGCAGCAGUGGGGAAUAUUGCACAAUGGGGGAAACCCUGAUGCAGCGACGCCGCGUGAGUGAAGAAGUAUUUCGGUAUGUAAAGCUCUAUCAGCAGGGAAGAAAAUGACGGUACCUGAUUAAGAAUCCCCGGCUAACUACGUGCCAGCAGCCGCGGGAAUACGUAGGGGGCAAGCGUUAUCCGGAUUUACUGGGCGUAAAGGGAGCUUAGGGGGCAGCACAAGGCUGGAGUGAAAUGCCGGGGCUUAACCCCGGAUGUGCUUUGGAAACUGUGCAGCUAGAGUGCAGGAGAGGUAAGUGGAAUGCGUAGUGUAGCGGUGAAAUGCGUAGAUAUUAGGAGGAACACCAGUGGCGAAGGCGGCUUACUGGACUGUAACUGACGUUGAGGCUCGAGAGCGUGGGGAGCAAACAGGAUUAGAUACCCGAGUAGUC